RNAcentral lists this ribosomal RNA (459 nucleotides) under uncultured bacterium. RNAcentral describes it as "partial 16S ribosomal RNA". It matches the Rfam family "Bacterial small subunit ribosomal RNA", at positions 338 to 795 of the family's 1533-position model. The record is from RNAcentral.
CCUACGGGCGGCAGCAGUGAGGAAUAUUGGUCAAUGGGCGCAAGCCUGAACCAGCCAAGUCGCGUGAGGGAAGACGGUCCUAUGGAUUGUAAACCUCUUUUGUCGGGGAGCAAAAGACGCCACGCGUGGCGUUCCGAGAGUACCCCAAGAAAAAGCAUCGGCUAACUCCGUGCCAGCAGCCGGGGUAAUACGGAGGAUGCGAGCGUUAUCCGGAUUUAUUGGGUUUAAAGGGUGCGCAGGGGGAAGAUCAAGUCUGCGGUAAAAUUGAGAGGCUCAACCUCGUCGAGCCGUUGAAACUGGUUUGCUUGAGUGAGUGAGAAGUAUGCGGAAUGCGUGGUGUAGCGGUGAAAUGCAUAGAUAUCACGCAGAACUCCGAUUGCGAAGGCAGCAUACCGGCGCUCAACUGACGCUCAUGCACGAAAGUGUGGGUAUCGAACAGGAUUAGAUACCCCAGUAGUC